This 916-nucleotide ribosomal RNA is filed under the name uncultured bacterium. Its description in RNAcentral is "bacterial SSU rRNA". It matches the Rfam family "Bacterial small subunit ribosomal RNA", at positions 246 to 1155 of the family's 1533-position model. The record is from RNAcentral.
UUGUUGGUAAGGUAAAAGCUUACCAAGGCUUCGAUCAGUAGCUGGUCUGAGAGGACGACCAGCCACACUGGGACUGAGACACGGCCCAGACUCCUACGGGAGGCAGCAGUGGGGAAUUUUGGACAAUGGGGGCAACCCUGAUCCAGCCAUGCCGCGUGAGUGAAGAAGGCCUUCGGGUUGUAAAGCUCUUUCAGCCGGAACGAAACGGUUACGGAUAACACCCGUGACUACUGACGGUACCGGAAGAAGAAGCACCGGCUAACUACGUGCCAGCAGCCGCGGUAAUACGUAGGGUGCGAGCGUUAAUCGGAAUUACUGGGCGUAAAGCGUGCGCAGGUGGUUUUGUAAGUCAGAUGUGAAAGCCCCGGGCUCAACCUGGGAACUGCGUUUGAAACUACAAGACUAGAGUGUGGCAGAGGGGGGUGGAAUUCCGCGUGUAGCAGUGAAAUGCGUAGAGAUGUGGAGGAACACCGAUGGCGAAGGCAGCCCCCUGGGUCAACACUGACGCUCAGGCACGAAAGCAUGGGGAGCAAACAGGAUUAGAUACCCUGGUAGUCCAUGCCCUAAACGAUGUCAACUAGUUGUCGGGCCUUUACGGGCUUGGUAACGUAGCUAACGCGUGAAGUUGACCGCCUGGGGAGUACGAUCGCAAGAUUAAAACUCAAAUGAAUUGACGGGGACCCGCACAAGCGGUGGAUUAUGUGGAUUAAUUCGAUGCAACGCGAAAAACCUUACCUACCCUUGACAUGUAUCGAAGCCCGCAGAAAAGCCGGGGUGCCCGAAAGGGAACGAUAACACAGGUGCUGCAUGGCUGUCGUCAGCUCGUGUCGUGAGAUGUUGGGUUAAGUCCCGCAACGAGCGCAACCCUUGUCAUUAAUUGCCAUCAUUUGGUUGGGCACUUUAAUGAGACUGCCGG